GACGAAGGAUUCAAGCGUUGUCCGGAUUUACUGGGUUUAAAGGGUGCGUAGGCGGAAUAUUAAGUCAGUGGUGAAAUCUCUCGGCUCAACCGAGAAACAGCCAUUGAAACUGAUUUUCUUGAAUACAGUUGAGGUAGAUGGAAUAUAACAUGUAGCGGUGAAAUGCUUAGAUAUGUUAUAGAACACCAAUUGCGAAGGCAGUCUGCUAAGCUGUUAUUGACGCUGAGGCACGAAAGCGUGGGGAGCAAACAGG
RNAcentral lists this ribosomal RNA (253 nucleotides) under uncultured Bacteroidota bacterium. RNAcentral's name for it is "uncultured Bacteroidetes bacterium partial 16S ribosomal RNA". It matches the Rfam family "Bacterial small subunit ribosomal RNA", at positions 524 to 776 of the family's 1533-position model. The record is from RNAcentral. Lineage: Bacteria; Pseudomonadati; Bacteroidota.